Poecilia reticulata (guppy) is the source of this 390-nucleotide non-coding RNA. The record is from RefSeq and is a predicted model, not a curated record. Lineage: Eukaryota; Metazoa; Chordata; Actinopteri; Cyprinodontiformes; Poeciliidae.
AAACAUAUACUGGAAGUAACAAAGAGGUAACAAAAUAACAUUUUCUUAUUUGCUUGAUGUAGGACUUUGACAUAAAGGAGCCGGUGAGGUCCUUGCUGUUACCGGAGGUGUAGAUGGUCGAGGAAAAUGUGAAUACAGCCACACUGGUUUAGUUUGGCGAGGAGAAAUAAGAUGAGAAAACAAUCUGCAUCUGCCUGAGGGGUUCUGCUCCUAGUUCUGCUCUUCCGAUUGACAUUGAUGAGCUUCAGCUGGGAACCACACCUGCUCAUCACACUCUGCAGUGGAGGAAGUAAUCACACAUUUCGGAGCCAAUGGAUCCACACCGCAUUUCCAGCAAAGGUUUAUGUUGCUCUCUGUUUUGAAGCAGACUCUCUCUUCCUCUAAAGCUAC